This 395-nucleotide ribosomal RNA is filed under the name uncultured bacterium. RNAcentral's name for it is "bacterial SSU rRNA". It matches the Rfam family "Bacterial small subunit ribosomal RNA", at positions 505 to 898 of the family's 1533-position model. The record is from RNAcentral.
GUGCCAGCAGCCGCGGUAAUACAGAGGUCCCGAGCGUUGUUCGGAUUCACUGGGCGUAAAGGGUGCGUAGGUGGUGAGGUAAGUCGGAUGUGAAAUUCUGGAGCUUAACUCCGGAACGGCAUUGGAAACUGCCUUGCUUGAGGUUUGGAGGGGGGACUGGAAUUCUCGGUGUAGCAGUGAAAUGCGUAGAUAUCGAGAGGAACACCGGUGGCGAAGGCGAGUCCCUGGACAACACCUGACACUGAGGCACGAAAGCUAGGGGAGCAAACAGGAUUAGAUACCCUGGUAGUCCUAGCCGUAAACGGUGCACGUUUGCUGUAAGAGGAAUCGACCCCUCUUGUGGCGAAGCUAACGCGAUAAACGUGCCGCCUGGGAAGUACGGUCGCAAGAUUAAA